This 376-nucleotide ribosomal RNA is filed under the name uncultured bacterium. Its description in RNAcentral is "bacterial SSU rRNA". It matches the Rfam family "Bacterial small subunit ribosomal RNA", at positions 28 to 407 of the family's 1533-position model. The record is from RNAcentral.
GAUGAACGCUAGCGGCAGGCUUAACACAUGCAAGUCGAGGGGUAUUGGUUUUCGGACCAAGAGACCGGCGCACGGGUGCGUAACGCGUAUGCAAUCUACCUUUUGCAGAGGGAUAGCCCCAGAGAAAUUUGGAUUAAUACCUCAUAGUAUAGUACUUUGGCAUCAAGGAACUAUUAAAGUCACAACGGCAAAAGAUGAGCAUGCGUCCCAUUAGCUAGUUGGUAAGGUAACGGCUUACCAAGGCAACGAUGGUAGGGGUCCUGAGAGGGAGAUCCCCCACACUGGUACUGAGACACGGACCAGACUCCUACGGGAGGCAGCAGUGAGGAAUAUUGGUCAAUGGACGCAAAUCUGAACCAGCCAUGCCGCGUGCAGG